This 468-nucleotide ribosomal RNA is filed under the name uncultured bacterium. Its description in RNAcentral is "partial 16S ribosomal RNA". It matches the Rfam family "Bacterial small subunit ribosomal RNA", at positions 28 to 507 of the family's 1533-position model. The record is from RNAcentral.
GAUGAACGCUGGCGGCGUGCUUAACACAUGCAAGUCGAACGGAAAGGCCCAAGCUUGCUUGGGUACUCGAGUGGCGAACGGGUGAGUAACACGUGGGUGACCUGCCCUGCACUUUGGGAUAACCUUGGGAAACUGGGUCUAAUACCGGAUAGGACGAUGUUUUGGAUGCCAUUGUGGAAAGAUUUUGCGGGGUGGGAUGAGCUCGCGGCCUAUCAGCUUGUUGGUGGGGUAUUGGCGUACCCAGGCGUCGACGCGUAGCCGCCCUGUGAGGGUGUACGGCCACAUUGGGGCUGUGAGACAGGCCAGAGUCGGACAGGGGGGAGAAGAGGGGAAAAUUGCACAAAGGGGGCAAGCGUGAGGCAGCGAAGCCGCGUGGGGGAUGAGGGCCUUUGGGGGGUAAAAACCGUUCGCGAGGGACGAAGCGUGUUUGUGACGGUACCUGGAGAAGAAGCACCGGCUAACUACGUG